ACGUUCGGCCGCCGCGGCGGGUCAGGCGUGAUGCCGUGAGCCGAGCCGGACUAAACUCCUUCGUUCACACGAGACUUCAGGCUUGACGACUUGGAGAACAGUUGAGGUCGUUUGAUCGUCUCGGAAGAUAGUGGUUUAUUUUCCCAACACUACAGCGAUGCCGUCGAUGACCCUACCAGUCUACCUCUCCACUACGCCGGCCUCAGUUUCGGCACAAGGGCUGACUACGCGGUGUGACGACCAUAGAAGAGUCAACCACCACCGGAACGAAAGACCCACGAAAGGGCGGAAGUGAUACCAGGUUCCUAUUGCCAAGGUUCCUCAGAGUCCACCCGUAGGACACCUCGCUACCCGUGCUCGCGCUGCCGUCGGUACGAACACGCCGAGAAGUCGGGCCUCACACUUGGUGUCUUGUAUCGUCGAAAGCUGUCUGGACUUAUGUUCGGACGUAUCACAGUACCUUUAGGUCCCGGUCCAGACGGUUCGGGAUACGCUCAAACGACUAAGCCGGGAACCACUACGGAAUGUUCUACAAAUACGUAUUUACAUGGAGGGGACUUUAACCUGUGGAGAUACAAAGGAUGUGAGACCGGCGGCAGUAAAAGAAGACUUUGAUCCUCGAAAAACGUAGUUUAGACCUCGACCAUGGAAAACGUAGUUUAAACCAAAGGUUUCACCCCAUCACUACAUAACGACCUGUGUAAAACUCACUACUAUUCAACGUGAGUCAAUUGGAUUACUGAAGGCACUCUAUGUAUUUGUAUGAUGCUAAACUGGGCUACUACACGCCAUUAUUAUCC
RNAcentral lists this ribosomal RNA (800 nucleotides) under Triticum aestivum (bread wheat). Its description in RNAcentral is "partial small subunit ribosomal RNA". The record is from RNAcentral. Lineage: Eukaryota; Viridiplantae; Streptophyta; Magnoliopsida; Poales; Poaceae.